UGUAGCCUCACCUAUUGGUUUGUUUCUGUUAAAUCUGUGAACCAAUCGGAGCGUGUUAUGAUUUUGUGGUUGCUCAUUGGUUGGUGCUACCCAAAUCUUCAAACCAAUAGGAGCAGGUUUUGUAGGAUAUAAGAAUCCUAGUUGUGUAGCACCUGAAAAACGUCAUCAUUGACGUCAUGCCCUGUAUGGAAGCGCUCUUUGUGAAUGAGCGGAGGGCGGCUGCGCGUCAUUCAUUAUCACCCUUGGCGUUGCGUGUUGUGAAUGAGAGGAUCGGCUUUUAGCUGGUUCCCAGAUGGCUGUGUGUUGCAGUAUUCGCAGCAGCUACAGUGUGCUGCACAUGAUGCGAUCUGGUAAUACACCUCGGAUGAUUGACCGGGCGUGACGUUUCAUUAACCCCUCGAUAAAUGUAAGUUUCGGACUACAUUGCUGCUUUGCCUGGAGAUUGUUUCUUUCGUGUGUGUUUGUGGAUUCGUCUAGUGGCACAUCCUCACCCUUUAUUGGACUGCAUCCAUUUAGGGGCUCGGGCUGGGAGGCGUAUAAUCUGGAUUCAGCCUUGCCCACAACGUUUAUUGGCAUGCAGGAGUGGUUGUCGGUGUGACGUAUCGACCAGUGUUAGUUAUUUUUUUGUUAAUGUUUUUUUGUUUAAUUUGGUGUUGUAUUUGUUCACUUCUAUAAAGUGGGAGCUUGCGCCGGAGUGUGUAGUUUACACUAUUUGCUGUGAGAAUUUUUGUGGUGUUUUCACGAGUGUAUUUUUAUAUAGUGUGGGGUGACCUCUUGACUUCCUGAAGGCGAGCUCCCCUUAUUGAUGUGAUUUUUGUAUUUUUUUUGUUUACUGUCAUACAUGUUUUCUAUUUAUUAUAAUAAACAAAUUAUAUUUUUCAAAUUCAUUGUUUGUAUCUUUCUCACCCCACCCACGACUAUUGGACCUGUGUCUCUUAGUUAAAGAUUUCCCGGGUUUCCCGGGUGGCGUAGUCGGAACAUUGGUAUCUCAAAAUUUGCAAUUCACCG
This is a non-coding RNA of Misgurnus anguillicaudatus (oriental weatherfish), 1008 nucleotides long. NCBI's taxonomy places the organism in Eukaryota, Metazoa, Chordata, Actinopteri, Cypriniformes, Cobitidae. The record is from RefSeq and is a predicted model, not a curated record.